Molecule: long non-coding RNA, 853 nt
Filed under: Musa acuminata (dwarf banana)
Lineage: Eukaryota; Viridiplantae; Streptophyta; Magnoliopsida; Zingiberales; Musaceae
Description: long non-coding RNA (MACU_LNC003596)
Source: RNAcentral
GAGGACAUCGAAAGCAGCAGAAACAUAAGUCGUGGAAGAUGGAAGAGGAGGGAGGAGGAAAGCUGUGAUCACUUCUUGGUGAGAGAGAGGACGGUGGGGAGGACGAUGACGAGGAUGAUGAUGAGGAGGAGGAUGAUGGCGAUGCAGGUCCACUUGCGGGUGUUCUUCUGGUAGACGCGGGCGGUGGUGAGAUUGUCGGUGCCGUGGCGGACGAAGGACUGGGCGCGGCCGACGUUGCUCUCGAUGUCGUCCAGCUGCUGCCCCUGCGCCUCCACCAGCACCGCCAUGUCCAUGAACACCUGCUGUAGCUCCAGCAGGCUGCGCUCCAGCUCCGCCACCGCCCCGUGCCGCUCCUGGAUCUCCGCCACCACGUCCAGCACCCGCCCCCUCCCCUGCUCCUCGAUGGCCCGCUGCAGGAACCGCUCCCCCUCCCCCGUCGCCACCAGCGCGUCCACCGUCGCCUCGUCGGGCGACUCCCCCGUGACGGUGUAGUAGCGCCGCCCCACCGUCUCCCGGUACUCGGCCGCGAUCCGGCGGCGGAGCUCCGCGAAGGCUUCCAUGGAGUCCCGGAGCUUCUUGCGGAGGCCGGCCACGACGGAGCUGCGGGUGCGGUCGGUGGAGCUCCCGGGCCCGCACCCGGGGACGGCGCGGUUGGCAGCGUUGGCGCGGUCCAGGGACUCGAGGCGGAGCUUGAUGAGCUUGGCCUUCUUGAGGGCGAGGGCGACGUCGGCGUCCAUGCGGCCCCGGAGCUCCCGCACCGCCGACGCCUCGUGCAGCGUCUUCCCCGCCUCGUUCGCCUCGUGCAGGCUGCGGUGGAGCCUCUCCACCUCCCGCAGCUCGUCCUUGAUCGCCU